UGGGUACAAACAUAUGAUUGAGAAGUAGUAUAGGAAUCACCUCAUGUCCUAGGUUUCAUUUCUUCGUUGUAUUGAAGUGGAAGUGGCGUGAUCGACGGAUGGAAACGUAAUACUAUUCGUUCUGUCUGUAGGACAGUGUAACUGUUUUUAAAAUAAUGUCAUAGAAGUCUCCUGGAUUACAAAAAUUCAAAUGAAAUGGCAGUUUCAAUUAGAACAUAUUCGUGUAAAAUAGUUCCUGCUAUUCAGGUUAUUUCAAGUAGGAAAAAUUUGCAUUUGUAUAGUGAUUCAUUACAAUCAAGACCCAGUAUUGCAGGAGCCAUCUCUAGAUCAGUAUUUCUUAACCAGUUUUUGUGCAAACGAAGAUUAAGAAGUAUUUCAUCAAUCCGAUCCAUAGAAGACUAUCAGUUUGAAGAAGAUCAAAAUGAGUUCAAACCAAAGUUGAAUAUUUGUAAUAAUGGGGAGCAAGCAUCCUUUAGUUUAAAUCUUCAGAUUAAUUCAUUCCAACCUUCAUUAGUAUACACUAAUAAAAGAGCAUGUAGGAAGGAUAGUCUUCUACCACAAAAUGGGCUCAGGGAGACAUAUCUUUACAAUAAAUAUUCACAGUCACCUUUAUUGUUUGGUAUAUAACUUCAAGCCCUUUCAUUUCUGACUACGAGAAGCAAUGAUAUUGCUAUCUGAGACAACAAAGGAACCUUCGCCAGAGCCUCCAAAAAAUGAAAGUGGAAAACCAACAGCUGAUCAACUUAAUGUUGUACAUAAAGUAUUGUCAAAUACGUUACCAAAGCUUUUUGUACAACCACUUGAUUAUUCGAUUUACCACCAAAACUUGAUAUUUGAAAACAACAUAAGAGGCACAAGAACAGUGGGUAUUUUCCACUAUGUAAGGCAGAUUGCUCUGUUACGAAUGAUUGGUCAUUUUAAAUUUGCUUACGUCAAGUUUGACAUAUUGAAGAUAACAUCUCACCCAGAGGAUGGGAACUGUUAAAGUUCGUUGGAGGAUUAGAGGAAUUUCUGGCAUGAAAGUCUUUUUCAACUUCUGGAAAUUCAACAUACUGAAUAUGAAAGAAUCUGUUGAAAGAGAACAAGAAUCGUGGUACGAUGGAUUCUCUGUUUUUCUUUGUCGAUGGUGAAGGAAAAGUAUUCAAGCAUGUGGUCGAUAAGAUGCAACCAGACCCAGAGGAGAAAACAGACAUAGUGAAACCUACUCUGGCAACUAAGAUGGCGUUGAUGUUGGGUCUGACUCCGCUCGACUGCCUUGUGUACCCCCAUGUG
Homalodisca vitripennis (glassy-winged sharpshooter) is the source of this 1272-nucleotide long non-coding RNA. RefSeq lists it as uncharacterized. The transcript is spliced from 7 exons. NCBI's taxonomy places the organism in Eukaryota, Metazoa, Arthropoda, Insecta, Hemiptera, Cicadellidae. The record is from RefSeq and is a predicted model, not a curated record.